This is a long non-coding RNA of Dermochelys coriacea (leatherback sea turtle), 597 nucleotides long. RefSeq lists it as uncharacterized. NCBI's taxonomy places the organism in Eukaryota, Metazoa, Chordata, Testudines, Dermochelyidae. The transcript has 4 exons. The record is from RefSeq and is a predicted model, not a curated record.
CUGCCCGGCAGUAAGCUAAGGCAGUCCAGGAAAUAGGAGACUGUGGUUCUGGAAUUGAUGGAAGACUUUGUUUUGGGCCUUUGUGGGGUUCUGUUUUGGACAAGCUCUGUUGCCAGCUUGGUAAAGGGGAAAUAGAGGUCAGCCACGAGAGAGUGCAGCUCUGAGGGCAUGCUAGGGGAGUGUCUUCAGUGAAAUGUCUUCACUGCAGAGUUAGUUUGAGCUAUAAGUUGAGUUUUGCUCCUAACUUGAGUCCUGUUCAGACACAGAAUCACAUAACUCGAGUGUGUGCUUUUAACAUGAGGAUCUCUGUGGGAUCUGCCAUUUUUGUCAUUUCUCUGGAAGGAAAUUCUGAGAAAGAGGCAUUUGAAUUUUUAUAGACCCUGGGGCAGCCCUCAGAUUUAUGAGUCUUGUAAGCUUUUCUGACUGUUCCUGGAAGGACUCUUGUCUCCCGGUGUUCACAGCACACAGCAAACCACCCAUUUCAGAGCACUCAGUGCAUUCUCUUUUUGCACUGAGCAGGAAUUUUUCAUUUUGGCAUAUCCCCUGAAACCUGCUGAAGGAAUUCCAAGGAUUCUGCAUUCAUCCACAAUACUAGAG